Bombus impatiens (common eastern bumble bee) is the source of this 2169-nucleotide long non-coding RNA. RefSeq lists it as uncharacterized. The record is from RefSeq and is a predicted model, not a curated record. The transcript has 4 exons. NCBI's taxonomy places the organism in Eukaryota, Metazoa, Arthropoda, Insecta, Hymenoptera, Apidae.
UGUACUUACUUUCGUGAAAGAGUAUCUCGUGUGAAUGCACUUUGUACACCAAACAAUACGUCUCGAUUGUUGACUGAAAACGUACCGCUGAAAUUAUUGUGCAAUCGAUCGUGGAUUAAUCCGAUAAUCGCGUCGUUUUUAUCGAGCAUAGUUUCGUUCUUGGAAUUUAAAAAUUUCUAUCGAUAAUUUUAUAAUACAUAUAAGAUACGAGCCGAAUCUUAUAGAUAUUGACUUUUGUAACGUAUAUAGUAGUUUCUACGAAUAAUAAAGUAUAUACUCCACAAACGUAUUCUAAACGUAUGAAUAUUUGUAUUUAACUGUAUAUAUUCGUAAUAUAACAAAUUUUCUAAUUAUUUUUGUUCACUAAAAAGAUACUUAGAGAUACUUACAAAAUGUCAACAAUUAUAUAUAUUUAUAGCUGUGUUCCUUAUUUGUAUACAAAUGGGAUAUAAAAUAAAUGAAAUUUUAGUAAUAUUGUAUCAAAUGCGAUUCUAUCUUUCCGAUAAUUUAGAUUUUUAUUUAAAUAACCUUAAAGUGAAGUCUCUAACGUUAGAUGGCGCGUAAGAUACUGUUUCGUUCAAAAUACAAAUUUAGUAUAUUAUUAUCAUUAUCUAUAAGCAACAAGCUAAUAUCUUAUAGUCUGUUACAUCUUAUUUAUUUAGUUAUUGCAUUGUUCUUUCUCAAUUUAUAAUGAAUGAAAAAACUUUCAAAUUUUUUUAUUGUUAUAAAAAAUGUUCCUGUUUAGAAAAAGCAGUAUGUUCCUAUGUAAAUAUUAACAACUGGUAUAAUUCGUCUACACAGUCUACACUGUACAAUUUAGGAAUGAAUAAGAUCCCUGUCAAAAUAAGAAGUCUGUCUCCCGAAACAAAAUAUCCUAAGAGAAAUCGAUGUGUCGCGCCUGUAAAAUUCAGCAACAUAUUUCGACCUUGGAGGGGGAAAUCUGUAAUCUGAGAGAUUUCUGGAAACACGAGGACCUCAGACAAGGAUCGCACAACGUUAAUUUAGAACUGCUUCCUUCCAUCUUCAAAGAACUCACAUCUAUAUAUAAUUAUUAUAUCAAAUCAAAAAUACUUCUGUCCGACUAUGUAAUUAUUUUUACGAAUUUUAUAGCGUAGCCUUCGAACCACAUAAAAAAGACGCGCGCAGUUUCAUCGUCAAAUUGGAUUAUUCCUUGCGAGAUCUUUCGGUUACUCUCGAGGGCAGUGAAUGCCGCCAGAUUUCACGACGAAUGAGCAAAUCCGUAUCGAACGAUUCCUAACAAAUAUGUAACGUCGGAAACGUGUAAUUAAACGUCUAGGCGAAACAACUUUUUGCCAAGAAAUGUGCGAUUAGAGGUAAUUACUUUAUUAACCUACUUCCAGUCGCAACUUGCGUUCACUCGCUCGCACGACAAUCCUACAGCGAUGAAUUCAAAUCUAUAAGCAAGCAGGCUUGCCGAUAUUACAGCAAGGAGAUGACAAGAACUGCGAAAUCUCGAACAAGUUGGCUGUAUGUGCGUUGGAUGCUCUCGGUCGGAAACAUCCAACAUCGAAACAAAGAAAUCCAAACUUUGGAUUUGGCAAACGAGAAAGGGAUUUGGGCGCAUGUUUCCGAGAAAUUAAUCGAGAAAUUACGUUCUUGGUGCAAGAGCUUCUUGUGUUUUAAAACGCUAAACCUUAGCAGGUCUAAUGACCGCUUUCAAAAUUGAAUUUAAAGUCGUGCAUUCGUUGUUAUUUCUUUCGUUCCACUAACUUUCUCUGAAUUCUUACGUUUAUCUGAUUAAUCAAUUUCUCAGUUUUUGUUAAUACAGUUACAAUUUCCAUCCGUAAAAUCGUACAAAUACGCAGUGAUAGUAUAAUAAAUAGAAAUAAACAAAGGCUUAUAAUAUAAAAGAUAGAUUAUAGGAAUUUAAUAUUUAAGAAAAUGAUAUUAAUAUCGAAAGAAUUUAUAAAGCGUAAGAUAUGGUCCCUGGCGUUUCCCCGAAAUUGUUGAGAAGUUUCUCUCACUCUGAAUCUUAUCGUUUCAAUAUUUUCAAUAGUUUUGCUCUGCUUACAAAAUUCGUUGUAUCUCGAAAGAAGAAAAUAGAGCAUAUGUUUGUACGAAGUUUCUUCAUUGUUUUUAGAUGCACAAUCAGCUCUGCAAGUGGGGCCCACAUGUUACGUCACAUCCUGUGUACGCAAAAAGUUUCUG